GACGAACGCUGGCGGCGUGCUUAACACAUGCAAGUCGAACGCUGAAGCUCAGCUUUUGUUGGGUGGAUGAGUGGCGAACGGGUGAGUAACACGUGAGUAACCUGCCCCCUUCUUUGGGAUAACGCCCGGAAACGGGUGCUAAUACUGGAUAUUCACUGGUCUUCGCAUGGGGGUUGGUGGAAAGGGGUUUUCUGGUGGUGGAUGGGCUCGCGGCCUAUCAGCUUGUUGGUGGGGUGAUGGCCUACCAAGGCUUUGACGGGUAGCCGGCCUGAGAGGGUGACCGGUAACAUUGGGACUGAGAUACGGCCCAGACUCGUACGGGGGGCAGCAGUGGGGAAUAUUGCACAAUGGGCGCAAGCCUGAUGCAGCGACGCCGCGUGAGGGAUGGAGGCCUUCGGGUUGUGAACCUCUUUCGCUAAUGGUCAAGCCGCAACAAUGGUUGUGGUGAGGGUAGUGGGUAAAGAAGCGCCGGCUAACUACGUG
RNAcentral lists this ribosomal RNA (483 nucleotides) under uncultured bacterium. RNAcentral's name for it is "partial 16S ribosomal RNA". It matches the Rfam family "Bacterial small subunit ribosomal RNA", at positions 28 to 507 of the family's 1533-position model. The record is from RNAcentral.